This 496-nucleotide ribosomal RNA is filed under the name uncultured bacterium. RNAcentral's name for it is "partial 16S ribosomal RNA". It matches the Rfam family "Bacterial small subunit ribosomal RNA", at positions 29 to 507 of the family's 1533-position model. The record is from RNAcentral.
AUGAACGCUGGCGGCGUGCCUCAUACCUGCCAGUCGAGCGCACAGAUGAGGAGCUUGCUCCUCUGACGUUAGCGGCGGACGGGUGAGUAACACGUGGAUAACCUACCUAUAAGACUGGGAUAACUUCGGGAAACCGGAGCUAAUACCGGAUAAUAUAUUGAACCGCAUGGUUCAAUAGUGAAAGACGGUUUUGCUGUCACUUAUAGAUGGAUCCGCGCCGCAUUAGCUAGUUGGUAAGGUAACGGCUUACCAAGGCAACGAUGCGUAGCCGACCUGAGAGGGUGAUCGGCCACACUGGAACUGAGACACGGUCCAGACUCCUACGGGAGGCAGCAGUAGGGAAUCUUCCGCAAUGGGCGAAAGCCUGACGGAGCAACGCCGCGUGAGUGAUGAAGGUCUUCGGAUCGUAAAACUCUGUUAUUAGGGAAGAACAAAUGUGUAAGUAACUAUGCACGUCUUGACGGUACCUAAUCAGAAAGCCACGGCUAACUACGUG